UUCUCCGAGGAGCGUUGCGACGAAUCGCCCGAUUCGCCAGGCUCGGAUACUUCUGCAACCGCGCUCACGUUAC
This 73-nucleotide non-coding RNA is filed under the name Massilia sp. NR 4-1. RNAcentral describes it as "SAH (S-adenosyl-L-homocysteine) riboswitch aptamer". It matches the Rfam family "SAH (S-adenosyl-L-homocysteine) riboswitch aptamer". RNAcentral also lists the same sequence under 1 other name. Lineage: Bacteria; Pseudomonadati; Pseudomonadota; Betaproteobacteria; Burkholderiales; Oxalobacteraceae. The record is from Rfam by way of RNAcentral.